Molecule: ribosomal RNA, 497 nt
Filed under: uncultured bacterium
Lineage: Bacteria
Description: partial 16S ribosomal RNA
Rfam family: Bacterial small subunit ribosomal RNA
Source: RNAcentral
GAUGAACGCUGGCGGCGUGCCUAAUACAUGCAAGUCGAGCGAACAGACGAGGAGCUUGCUCCUCUGACGUUAGCGGCGGACGGGUGAGUAACACGUGGAUAACCUACCUAUAAGACUGGGAUAACUUCGGGAAACCGGAGCUAAUACCGGAUAACAUGUUGAACCGCAUGGUUCAACAGUGAAAGACGGUUUUGCUGUCACUUAUAGAUGGAUCCGCGCCGCAUUAGCUAGUUGGUAAGGUAACGGCUUACCAAGGCAACGAUGCGUAGCCGACCUGAGAGGGUGAUCGGCAACACUGGAACUGAGACACGGUCCAGACUCCUACGGGAGGCAGCAGUAGGGAAUCUUCCGAAAUGGGCGAAAGCCUGACGGAGCAACGCCGCGUGAGUGAAGAAGGUCUUCGGAUCGUAAAACUCUGUUAUUAGGGAAGAACAAAUGUGUAAGUAACUAUGCACGUCUUGACGGUACCUAAUCAGAAAGCCACGGCUAACUACGUG